Podarcis lilfordi (Lilford's wall lizard) is the source of this 1378-nucleotide non-coding RNA. NCBI's taxonomy places the organism in Eukaryota, Metazoa, Chordata, Lepidosauria, Squamata, Lacertidae. The record is from the annotation of a GenBank genome assembly.
GUCAGAGACCAGGAUUAGAUGGGCCAUUGGCCUGAUCCUGAAGGCAUUUCCUUAUGUUCUUAAGCUUCUGUCCCUCACCUACAGCUCUUAGGGCUUAUCCACGCUUUUGCCCUGUUCUUUCCAGGUAUGGUCCCAACAUUAAAGCUCUAUGUCCUCUCUGGCCCCAUGCUUCCCCCCAAAAAACCUGCUGUUUAGUGCUCAAUUGGAGCAAACGUCAAUUUGAGUUUGAGUCUUAACGAGUGGGAUUUUGUGGGGAACGUGCUGGAGGGCAGUGGAAAGGGCACUCAGACACAGAGCUUUAAAGCACUGACCAUACCUGGAGAGGGUGAAGGAAAAAUAAGUGUGGAUAGGCCCUUAGACUCCAUGCUCCAAGGCAGCCCACUGGUUUUCCAUGACUGGAUCAGGCUUGGACUUUGCCUGUACAGCAGUCAGCUCUGAUUCCAUCUGUCUUAACUGCUAUUAUGCAUGUGGGGCUUCCUACAUUUCUUUGUAGCUCAACCUUCCCACACACUACUUAUUAAAUUUCCCUCAGGCCCUGUUCCUGGGGCUUCUGUCUCUCAGAUACCUAAGGCCCAAUAUCACAACAUUUCAUUGAAUGUACCAUAUUGGCCCAAACAUAAGCCACUCCCCCCCCCCCAAAUUCUGAUUGUGAAAAGUGUGGCUUAUAUUCCAGGAGGGCCAUUGGGGGUGCAGGGGUAAGGCUACCAGCAAAGCGAUGCAGCUCCCCCCCCCCGGAAGCAGCCUGGGAGCGUGGGACAAUGGUGUGCCACCCACCCACGACUUCCAAGCCUUCCCCGCUGCCAGCUUGGGGAGGUAGUGCCAGGAGUGCCAGGAGACGGUAAUGUCGGGAGGCGGGCACACAGCACGCUUGGAACUGAGCGCCGGCUUGGGGAGUGGGGCCCUGAGUGCCAGCCAUCCCCCAUUCAGGGCGGUAGUGCCGGGAGGCGGGCCACAUCCACAAAUAAGCCUUGAAUUCUAAAGGUGCAGCUUAUUUGCGGCUAAGUCUUACAUUCGGGCCAAUACGGUAAGCAUUUCUUUCUUUCUUUUAUAUUUCAUCUGUUUCAUUUGGUGAUGUUAAAUGCCCACCCUCAAUUCCCUCCAAUGGACUAGGUUACUCUGUGUGAGUUCACACCCACAGAAGCUUGGUCCUGAUGCCAUUUCUAAAAUCCGACGAGUGAUACUCUGGAAGGAAAUGCUCCUUUGCACAAAGAAUAAAGGUAUCUAUCAAGUGAAGAGAGGAUCUACGCAAACAUCAAAGACCCUGAUUUCAAUGACUCCUCCACCAAACUGUUUGGGAGGUGAUUCCCAGCUUCAGACAGUUUGAAACAUGAGGAUAAGGCAGCUACAUUCUCAGUCUCUUUACCUUAUAAAGCAGGUG